CCGGUACACUUCAUCCAGAAAGCCAGUAGCGACAGCUUCUUGUGGAACUCUGGAAUAGCUGGAGGAGAAAACAAAACAAACAAUUAAAUAAAGCCGUGUUGAAAGCAUUGACUUCCAGAAGAGAAAAGAUGGUUGUGAGAAAAUUUGCUCCUGAUUGAGUUCUGGACACUGAUGUCUCAUCCUUUUAAAUACCACAAAAUACUAUGGGAAUACUGCAAAUGGUCUGCACAAGACGGGUCCCUGUCCUAGCACUGCUCUGUGGCCUUGGGAAAGAGAGGUGGAAGAUUUUGGCUCUUCAGAGGUGGAAGCAACCCCACCCCACCGCAGCAAUGACCUCUGUCCAUCUUCUGCACAUGAAAGCAUGAUAAGGAUAAGUCCUUUCUCGUCUUCCCUGCUUAUUUCUGGAUACCAGCGCUGAAGAUAGAAUAAGGCCCCUGACCAAUUUGGGUGACUGCUACAUCUGCUGGUAACCGUGAGUUGACCU
Non-coding RNA from Phalacrocorax carbo (great cormorant), 484 nucleotides. The record is from RefSeq and is a predicted model, not a curated record. Lineage: Eukaryota; Metazoa; Chordata; Aves; Suliformes; Phalacrocoracidae.